RNAcentral lists this transfer RNA (74 nucleotides) under Tengunoibacter tsumagoiensis. RNAcentral's name for it is "tRNA-Gln". It matches the Rfam family "tRNA". Rfam says of the family: Transfer RNA (tRNA) molecules are approximately 80 nucleotides in length. The record is from RNAcentral. Lineage: Bacteria; Bacillati; Chloroflexota; Ktedonobacteria; Ktedonobacterales; Dictyobacteraceae.
UGGGGUAUCGUCCAACGGUAGGACAUCUGACUUUGGAUCAGGUGAUCGGGGUUCGAAUCCCUGUACCCCAGCCA